GUGGGGAAUAUUGGACAAUGGGCGAAAGCCUGAUCCAGCCAUGCCGCGUGUGUGAAGAAGGUCUUCGGAUUGUAAAGCACUUUAAGUUGGGAGGAAGGGCAGUAAGUUAAUACCUUGCUGUUUUGACGUUACCAACAGAAUAAGCACCGGCUAACUUCGUGCCAGCAGCCGCGGUAAUACGAAGGGUGCAAGCGUUAAUCGGAAUUACUGGGCGUAAAGCGCGCGUAGGUGGUUCAGCAAGUUGGAGGUUAAAUCCCCGGGCUCAACCUGGGAACUGCCUCCAAAACUACUGAGCUAGAGUACGGUAGAGGGUAGUGGAAUUUCCUGUGUAGCGGUGAAAUGCGUAGAUAUAGGAAGGAACACCAGUGGCGAAGGCGACUACCUGGACUGAUACUGACACUGAGGUGCGAAAGCGUGGGGAGCAAACAGGAUUAGAAACCCUGGUAGUCC
Molecule: ribosomal RNA, 450 nt
Filed under: uncultured bacterium
Lineage: Bacteria
Description: bacterial SSU rRNA
Rfam family: Bacterial small subunit ribosomal RNA
Source: RNAcentral